CCUAGCGGCGGACGGGUGAGUAAUGCUUAGGAAUCUGCCUAUUAGUGGGGGACAACAUCUCGAAAGGGAUGCUAAUACCGCAUACGUCCUACGGGAGAAAGCAGGGGACCUUCGGGCCUUGCGCUAAUAGAUGAGCCUAAGUCGGAUUAGCUAGUUGGUGGGGUAAAGGCCUACCAAGGCGACGAUCUGUAGCGGGUCUGAGAGGAUGAUCCGCCACACUGGGACUGAGACACGGCCCAGACUCCUACGGGAGGCAGCAGUGGGGAAUAUUGGACAAUGGGGGGAACCCUGAUCCAGCCAUGCCGCGUGUGUGAAGAAGGCCUUUUGGUUGUAAAGCACUUUAAGCGAGGAGGAGGGUACUGGUAUUAAUACUACCAGGUACUGGACGUUACUCGCAGAAUAAGCACCGGCUAACUCUGUGCCAGCAGCCGCGGUAAUACAGAGGGUGCGAGCGUUAAUCGGAUUUACUGGGCGUAAAGCGUGCGUAGGCGGCUAAUUGAGUCGGAUGUGAAAUCCCCGAGCUUAACUUGGGAAUUGCAUUCGAUACUGGUUAGCUA
RNAcentral lists this ribosomal RNA (557 nucleotides) under Acinetobacter sp.45AAIII. RNAcentral describes it as "bacterial SSU rRNA". It matches the Rfam family "Bacterial small subunit ribosomal RNA", at positions 91 to 643 of the family's 1533-position model. The record is from RNAcentral. Lineage: Bacteria; Pseudomonadati; Pseudomonadota; Gammaproteobacteria; Moraxellales; Moraxellaceae.